Molecule: ribosomal RNA, 254 nt
Filed under: uncultured bacterium
Lineage: Bacteria
Description: partial 16S ribosomal RNA
Rfam family: Bacterial small subunit ribosomal RNA
Source: RNAcentral
UACGUAGGCAGCAAGCGUUGUUCGGAGUUACUGGGCGUAAAGGGCGCGUAGGCGGUCGUGACAAGUCACUUGUGAAAUCUCCGGGCUUAACUCGGAACGGUCAAGUGAUACUGUCGGACUAGAGUACAGAAGGGGCAACUGGAAUUCUCGGUGUAGCGGUGAAAUGCGUAGAUAUCGAGAGGAACACCUGCGGCGAAGGCGGGUUGCUGGGCUGAUACUGACGCUGAGGCGCGAAAGCCAGGGGAGCGAACGGG